AGGAGAAUCGCUUGAAUCCAGGAGGCCGAGGUUGCAGUGAGCCAAGAUCACGCCACUGCACUGCAGCCUGGGUGACAGAGUGAGACUCCGUCUCAAAAAAAAAAAAAAAAAAAAAAAUUAAAUGAGGUUUAAGGAUGGGGCCCAGUCUGGUAGUUUGUUCAAUUUCUUUUCAAAAGAGCAUUGUUUUUGUUUUUGUUUUUGUUUUUUGGCAUGAGGUUGUAAUCGCUGUGUGCCUGGGGUCGGGAGGCUGACUGACAAGGCAGCUUCCUCCACAGACUUCCAGCAACAGUCCUGCCCUGGCUGCGCUCCUCUCCCCCAGGCCUCCAGGCCACCAGCUUGCAGCCUGUGCUCCUCUGGGGAGGGAUCCCCCGCUCCCCCACUCCCAGCCUCGCCCUGACAGUGAUCCGAGUUGCGGAUUUUGGCUUUCUCCUCCAUCCUCACCCGUCCAAUUGCCCUCCAGCUCACAGAAUCAUUUUCUCAAAAUUUUCAACUGCUAAUGACCCUGUCACCAGGCCACCUGGCAGGGAAGCCCACUUGUCCCCUACCAAUAGGCCCAUGGUGUCUUGGAGUCUCACAAAACUCGGCUGGAAAUCUCUGGCCCCAGAGGGAGGAAGAUGCUUCUCUAUUUCUACCUGAGGCCUUCCUUAGGCUCCUGGUCAGGAAGGGAGAAGAGACCCCGGGCAAGGGGUGAGAAGUGGGGGUGGGGGAGUCUUGCCCCUUCCUCUGGACGACAGAGCCCAUUACUAGAGGGAAUUUCAAUGGUGUUUCCAACCCCAGGUCUCACCCAGGAAGGAGGAAUCUAAACAAACUCAGCUGCCAGUGGCUCCCCCAUAGCGACAGUUUGAGGCCGGAUUCACUGAAGUUUUCACAGAUGAGUCUAGGUAAAGUUGUGGGGGUUUUUGCUGUUGUUUUGUUUUGUUUUGUUUCUUUGAGACAGGGUCUCAGUCUGUCGCCCAGGCUGGAGUGCAGUUGAGUGAUCUUGGCUCACUGCAGACUCCAACUCCUGGAUUCAAGUGAUUCUCCUGCCUCAGCCACCCAAGGUGUGAGCCACCAUGCCCAGCUAAUUUUUGUAUUUUUAGUAGAGACAGGGUUUUGCCAUGUUGCCCAGGCUGGCCUUGAACUCCUGAGCACAAGCGAUCCGCCCACCUCAGCCUCACAAAGUGCUGGGAUUACAGGCAUGAGCCACCGUGCCCAGCCAAAGUUGUGGUUUUAAGCAGGAUGUUCCAAAGUCCAGUGGUUAUGACCAAACGCCACACAGAGACAGAAGCCUCCCGCACAGCCCCAACUCCCAGCAGCCAUGGUGUUCCAGGUCCUCCAAAGUCAGCUUCUCCUCCAGGAGGCCACUGAGCUCCCCAGCUGCGGGGCUGAGGCCACACAGCCCUGUGCGGUUCAUCUGCCAUCCGGGCCCUUCUUCCUCUUCUGAGCUUCACAGUUAGCCCAGGGAAGAAAACAGGCGUGUCUUCCACAAAC
This 1470-nucleotide long non-coding RNA is filed under the name Homo sapiens (human). RNAcentral's name for it is "HSALNT0226024". Lineage: Eukaryota; Metazoa; Chordata; Mammalia; Primates; Hominidae. The record is from RNAcentral.